UACGUAGGGUGCAAGCGUUAAUCGGAAUUACUGGGCGUAAAGCGUGCGCAGGCGGUUUUGUAAGUCUGUCGUGAAAGCCCCGGGCUCAACCUGGGAAUUGCGAUGGAGACUGCAAGGCUUGAAUCUGGCAGAGGGGGGUAGAAUUCCACGUGUAGCAGUGAAAUGCGUAGAGAUGUGGAGCAACACCGAUGGCGAAGGCAGCCCCCUGGGUCAAGAUUGACGCUCAUGCACGAAAGCGUGGGGAGCAAACAGG
Molecule: ribosomal RNA, 253 nt
Filed under: uncultured bacterium
Lineage: Bacteria
Description: partial 16S ribosomal RNA
Rfam family: Bacterial small subunit ribosomal RNA
Source: RNAcentral